This 347-nucleotide unclassified non-coding RNA is filed under the name soil metagenome. RNAcentral's name for it is "partial contains 5.8S ribosomal RNA, internal transcribed spacer 2, and large subunit ribosomal RNA". The stretch from base 1 to 120 matches the Rfam family "5.8S ribosomal RNA", at positions 35 to 154 of the family's 154-position model. The record is from RNAcentral.
GAUGAAGAACGUAGCGAAAUGCGAUAAGUAGUGUGAAUUGCAGAAUUCAGUGAAUCAUCGAAUCUUUGAACGCACAUUGCGCCCCCUGGUAUUCCGGGGGGCAUGCCUGUCCGAGCGUCAUUGCUGCCCUCAAGCACGGCUUGUGUGUUGGGCCGUCGUCCCCCUCCUAGGGGACGGGCCCGAAAGGCAGCGGCGGCACCGCGUCCGGUCCUCGAGCGUAUGGGGCUUCGUCACCCGCUCCGUAGGCCCGGCCGGCGCUUGCCGACGACCAUCAAUCUCUUUCUCCAGGUUGACCUCGGAUCAGGUAGGGAUACCCGCUGAACUUAAGCAUAUCAAUAAGCGGAGGA